UACGGAGGGUGCAAGCGUUAUCCGGAUUUACUGGGUUUCAAGGGUGCGUAGGCGGAUUUGUAAGUCCGAGGUGAAAUCUCCGAGCUUAACUCGGAAACUGCCGUUGAUACUAUUUGUCUUGAAUAUUGUGGAGGUAAGCGGAAUAUGUCAUGUAGCGGUGAAAUGCUUAGAUAUGACAUAGAACACCAAUUGCGAAGGCAGCUUACUACACCAUGAUUGACGCUGAGGCACGAAAGCGUGGGGAUCAAUCAGU
RNAcentral lists this ribosomal RNA (253 nucleotides) under uncultured bacterium. RNAcentral describes it as "partial 16S ribosomal RNA". It matches the Rfam family "Bacterial small subunit ribosomal RNA", at positions 524 to 776 of the family's 1533-position model. The record is from RNAcentral.